UUUCAUGUUACCAUUGUAAUGUAUCACAGCUGCAUUCUCAAUUUCUGACCGGUCAAUGCUUGGAUUGUAUCCCAAACCUAGCACGUGCCACGACUUCUCUAGUGGAUGUGUAAGCCCGUAAAAUGUGAUCAGCCCUGGAGGUAGAGUUCCCAGCUUCCAGAGGACCCUAUCUUCAUUCUAAUGCAAACGCAGAAGAAAGAACCAAGUGCCACGACUUCUCAAGUGGAUGUGUAAGCCCGUAAAAUGUGAUCAGCCCUGGAGGUAGAGUUCCCAGCUUCCAGAGCACCCUGUCUUCAUUCUAAUGCAAAGGCAGAAGAGAGAACCAAAAUCCAACUUAGCAAGAAAUCAAAUAACAAAUACAAUACUAUAUAUUGGGUUGAAUAUUGUGUUCUAACAGUGUCUCAAUGUUUCUGUUGGGAAUAAAUAUCUACAUGGUGUAAAAACAUUUUAGGAAGGAGAAACACUACAAUGUAGUCCAUACACGUAGUCCAUACAUUACUUUACAUAUUUUAACUUAAAAAACAGAAAUACAUAGAUGACGACAUACAUAUCCUGAUGCUAAGUAAAGGUUUUACUUCAUUUGAUACAAUACGUG
RNAcentral lists this long non-coding RNA (595 nucleotides) under Nicotiana benthamiana. RNAcentral's name for it is "long non-coding RNA (NBEN_LNC038082)". Lineage: Eukaryota; Viridiplantae; Streptophyta; Magnoliopsida; Solanales; Solanaceae. The record is from RNAcentral.